This is a long non-coding RNA of Sinocyclocheilus grahami, 2324 nucleotides long. Ensembl lists it as uncharacterized. NCBI's taxonomy places the organism in Eukaryota, Metazoa, Chordata, Actinopteri, Cypriniformes, Cyprinidae. The record is from Ensembl.
GUUUCAAGCUAAUGGCCGGUCUAUCCGCUCGAUUUAUUUCUGAGAAACCAAGAGGGGAAAAGGCUCAGUAUGACGUAAACAGAUGUUCUCAGUGUCUAAACACUGAUUCAAAACCUUUCACAAUUAACAAAUAUCUUAACUGUUUUCACGCAGUCUGUCGUUUGGCGAAUUUAGCGUGUUUCGGCCGAUGCGGAGGCGAUUUCGAUGAGUCCCUGCUGCACUACAGUAUGUGCACGAGGCCUACAAUUUAACAGUGGGUUGCAUGUUUAGGGGCCUCAAACAGGGAGGAGACCAUGAACCUCAACGAGAAGAAGCCCAACAAGUGGUGGACUGAACCGGACACGUUUGCCAUGCUGGCCCUUAUAGAGCAGAUGGGUCUGGUACACGAGCUGGAUAAGAAGCGUCAGCGCAACGAAUCCCUCUUCCGACACCUCAGGCUGAGUCUGGCAAAGCGGGGCAUCCACUUCACUGUCACCCAAAUCCGAAACCGUUGGAAGAGCCUCAAACACAAGUACCGUAAGAUCAAACUGGCCAGCUACAGAAGUCCAGCCGCUCGCCUGUCUGCCGUCGAGUCUUUCCGUUACUUCCAUAUGCUGGAUCACAUGUUGGUGCGCAGACCGAAGGUGGGAGGCAGGGAGGACGACCUCACAGAUGGUCACGCCCUGCUUGGACGGUCACUCGCAGACCUGGAUGACCAUGCAGACAGUCAUUGGCCUGAAGGCCUAAUCCCUAAAUCUGAGCCUGAGAGCAUGUCUUCUAAACUUGAACCUGAUGUUGACGAGAGUCUGAAUCCAGAUGAUGUGGCUGGUUCUGAGCCUCCAAACUGGGCCGUAGGACCAGAUGAAGUUAUGACCCUGGGCUUGUCAGGAGAAUACCUCUAUGCAGUGAAGACAGAACCACCAUCCCUAUGCACUCCCAACAGUACAGAAAGUACAAGAGAUGCCAUUGACUGCAGCCACAAUGAUUUCCCAGGAACUUCUGAAGAGACUAGCAGCCUCAUCCUCCAGCAGCUAACCAUCCUGAACCACCGGCUUGGAGAACAGCUGGCCGAGCAGAGAGCCUUCCACUGCAGCAUGCUAGGAAUGAUGGAUCGCCAGAUCCAGGUCCUGGAGCAGCUCUCCAAUUUCACAAGGAACCACCAACCCAAGCUUGAGACCCCGGGCACGGACUCUUCAGUUAGUCCGAACGUGCAUGAAGCUCAAACACAGACUCUUGAGCCAUAUCCCACGUUCCUCAUGCCUAAAAGCGAACCAACAGCUGCUCCUUGGAAGGUCUCUCUCUUAGAAGUCCACAAGAGGUCACCUUCUGAGUUGGGCAGUGACACUGAGACUCCUCAAACCUUGGAGGGUUGCAACGAAAACACCUCUAGCCCACCUUCUUUAGAGAUUUUACCCUCAACCAAGAACGUAAUUGUGCAGAAUGGAUUGUGUAAGCACGAUUGAGUGCUGUUUAUUUGGGACGUUAUGCAUUCAGUAGGAACUACUAAAGUCUUUUGUCCUGUAGAUGUUUCAGGAGCUUGAUCUGAUCUGAAACAUCAUUAACAUAUGCAUUUUUCAGUUUCAUAGGAAAGUAUUCAGUGCUCUGAUGUUUUAAUCAGUAACACUUUUGAGAGAUAGAACAAUAGACUUAUUAUUUAUUUACUUUGGUUUGAUUGCGAACUAACACUCGAUGCGAAUCUUAGACGGUAAGUAACUCAGCAGUGACUGUUUCAAAAUUGCAGUUUGGACCAAGGUAGCUUUAUGUCUGUAAUCAUCUUGCAUUAUCUAAGAGAAAGAAGUGGGUUAUUGGUAAGCUUAAAGUUGUGUAAAACUAUCAGUUUCUUCCUGUUAGGUUUGGAACACACUUUAAGGCUGAUUUUAACACAAGAAGGUGUAUUACCAUGAAUUUCAUCAUCUAAUUUGAACUCCUGUGGUUAAGUAUGAACUUCACUGUUCAUUUCAACUGCUUGACUCUUAAUAUAAAGUAAUAGUUCACUUAUAUGUUUUGUUAUAUUUUUGACAUGCGAAAUGGAUCAGGGUUGGGUUACUUGUAACACCACUAAUUCGAUUAAUCUUACUAGUGUUAAUACAGGGUACUACGAAAUUACUUUUACAUUAAACUAUGGGUACUGUGUCAAAAGUGUGUGGGUAAAAACACUCGAAUGGAAGGGGAAAAUGUCAGCAAGUCCUACUUAAGUUGUAUUGAAAUUGUUAGACAAGUUCCUAUGCUCACCAAGGCUGUAUUUAUUUGAUUAAAAAUAAACGGUAAUAUUGUAACAUAUUAUUACAAUAACCUCUAAUAUGAGGAAGAAUAAAUGAACUUUACAGUCGUUUGGAUCAGCGAGG